AAAAAAGAAGAAAAAAG
This 17-nucleotide small RNA is filed under the name Arabidopsis thaliana (thale cress). Its description in RNAcentral is "ATSL061800". Lineage: Eukaryota; Viridiplantae; Streptophyta; Magnoliopsida; Brassicales; Brassicaceae. The record is from RNAcentral.